GCGUUUCCGUUUUGAACAUCAAUCAAGAACCUAGACUCUAUAUGGCACACGUACGAUCAAUCAUCAACUCUUUUCCAUAACUUGCGGGUCAUGCGAAGACUAUAUAAAAACCGAAUCCUUCAUCUCAUAACUCACACCUUUCACCACUCUCGAAACACACGGCUGAAGGAACAAGUGGUUUUACCGGAGAUCGACGGAAGCUGUAUAGAAGCACGACGACAGACAAACGAAGAACACGCUGUCGCCGGAGAAGUUGAGAACGUCGGAAAACCUCCACUCCAUUCUUUAUUUCGCUUCGCCGGAGAACCUUUGGAACUCGCCGGAACCAAGCAAACCUUUCGGAAGUUCACGACGGGAAUCCUCCGUUUCGUUACGUUUCGGAUAAUCGCUCUCGCGUUCGUCCUCUUGGAAUUCUCCAUCUUUACUCGUGCUUUAUUUCGAGGAAUUCUCCAAACGCAACCAAUAUGACGAAAAACGCCCAAGAAUAAGGGCAUUAUUCAUCCUUAUCAUUACGCAUGGUCUUAGUUAUUAUCUUAUAUUCAGAUACGAAGAAAGACACCGUGUCAUCGUCAAUAAGGUCAUGAUGAGAUUGGGCAAAACAAUGUUACUCUUGUUAUACGCGAUAAAACAAGAGUGAAGAUGAUGGAAGUGAGUAGGAAAUCUGGGCAUGCUACACAAGCAAAUGGUGAAGGAUCGUUAGUGUUCACUCACGUAGUUUAGUGGAAUAUUGUAUUUCUGUUAGUGUUUUUUUUUUUUUGAAAUAUUACAUGAGAUAUUGGUUUGUUAGUAUCAACAUUUAUGAAAUCUAUUGUUAAUUUU
Molecule: RNA transcript, 819 nt
Organism: Helianthus annuus (common sunflower)
Lineage: Eukaryota; Viridiplantae; Streptophyta; Magnoliopsida; Asterales; Asteraceae
Exons: 6
Source: RefSeq, a predicted model, not a curated record